This 431-nucleotide ribosomal RNA is filed under the name uncultured bacterium. Its description in RNAcentral is "partial 16S ribosomal RNA". It matches the Rfam family "Bacterial small subunit ribosomal RNA", at positions 29 to 505 of the family's 1533-position model. The record is from RNAcentral.
AGCGAACGCUGGCGGCAGGCCUAACACAUGCAAGUCGAACGGAUCCUUCGGGAUUAGUGGCGGACGGGUGAGUAACACGUGGGAACGUGCCCUUUGGUUCGGAACAACUCAGGGAAACUUGAGCUAAUACCGGAUGUGCCCUUCGGGGGAAAGAUUUAUCGCCAUUGGAGCGGCCCGCGUCUGAUUAGCUAGUUGGUGAGGUAACGGCCCACCAAGGCGACGAUCAGUAGCUGGUCUGAGAGGAUGAUCAGCCACACUGGGACUGAGACACGGCCCAGACUCCUACGGGAGGCAGCAGUGGGGAAUCUUGCGCAAUGGGCGAAAGCCUGACGCAGCCAUGCCGCGUGAAUGAUGAAGGUCUUAGGAUUGUAAAAUUCUUUCAGCGGGGACGAUAAUGACGGUACCCGCAGAAGAAGCUCCGGCUAACUUCG